AGUGUCGAGCAGUUGACGCGGGCUUUCCUUCUCUAUCUCCUUAGACAGACUUUGUUUGCCAACAAGGAUAGUUCAGUACAUACACAGCUCUUGGCCUCUUUGCAGCAUUUGGAGGUCGUUAGGGAGUUUGAUUGGGGAUCGUCUGCUUUAGCCACCCUAUAUGGCAAUCUUGGAGCCUAUUCUCGGGACAAGAGUCCCAUCCUCGGUGGUGACUACCGGGUACUUAAGCUCUGGGCUUUUGAGCACCUUCUCCAGUUUCCUAGUGAUACUAGACAUGAGGAUGCAAACUGUGUUCCUUGCUAUGAGCGAUGGUUGGUGGGGCAACGGAAGCCGCGGUCACCUGUUCUGAACCUUCUUGAAUGGAGACUGGUUUUGGACCGGUUGACAGUCGAUCAGGUACAUUUUGACCCUUGGGGUGGUGUACCAGAGGAUGCCCCUCUUGCGCGUUCCAGGAUUUUGGAUCGUACUCGUAGCUUGUUCGAGGGCCCAUAUUGCUGAGCCUGGUACUUAGGUGAUCAGGUGGCCAGUCAGUGGCGCCCGCGUGCUGAGGGACUUCAGUUUGUUCCUCCUCCUCCUCCAGCGUCGAUGAGGUUUACUUCUUCGAUGUCUAAGGAAGAUUUGAAGAAUGCUCAGAUCAGAGAUAGGGCAAGCUUGCUCUUCUAGGCGGG
Rhododendron vialii is the source of this 668-nucleotide long non-coding RNA. RefSeq lists it as uncharacterized. Lineage: Eukaryota; Viridiplantae; Streptophyta; Magnoliopsida; Ericales; Ericaceae. The record is from RefSeq and is a predicted model, not a curated record. The transcript is spliced from 3 exons.